Humulus lupulus (European hop) is the source of this 240-nucleotide long non-coding RNA. RefSeq lists it as uncharacterized. The record is from RefSeq and is a predicted model, not a curated record. The transcript has 3 exons. Lineage: Eukaryota; Viridiplantae; Streptophyta; Magnoliopsida; Rosales; Cannabaceae.
GCCUAAAACUCUUCUUAACACUCUUUUAAAGUUUUAAAUCUCUAAAAUCUAGGCGAAGUUCUGUUUGUAACGCUAGCCUACGAAGACCUUUUUGGGAAGCUAACAAUUUCGGUUGUUUUAUCAAGACGCAAGGUAAGAGGCCCCAAAUAUAAAUUGUUGAUGAGUAUACGUGGAGCCAACAUGACUGUACAUAUGGGGCUGACCUGAAGGGAGUGGAGUUCUGCUAUGCUAUUUUAUAAA